CCCGCACAAGCGGUGGAGCAUGUGUUAAUUCGAAGCAACGCGAAGAACCUUACCAGGGCUUGACAUCCCCUGACCGCGUAUGAAAGUACGUUUUCACCCUCGGGUGACAGGGAGACAGGUGGUGCAUGGUUGUCGUCAGCUCGUGUCGUGAGAUGUUGGGUUAAGUCCCGCAACGAGCGCAACCCCUACGUUUAGUUGCUAACGCGUGAAGGCGAGCACUCUAGACGAACUGCCGUUGACAAAACGGAGGAAGGUGGGAUGACGUCAAAUCAUCAUGCCCCUUAUGUUCUGGGCUACACACGUGCUACAAUGGCCGGUACAGACGGACGCAAAGCCGCGAGGUGGAGCAAAUCCUAAAAAGCCGGUCUCAGUUCGGAUUGCAGGCUGCAAUUCGCCUGCAUGAAGUCGGAAUCGCUAGUAAUCGCAGGUCAGCAUACUGCGGUGAAUACGUUCCCGGGCCUU
This 462-nucleotide ribosomal RNA is filed under the name uncultured Pelotomaculum sp. RNAcentral describes it as "bacterial SSU rRNA". It matches the Rfam family "Bacterial small subunit ribosomal RNA", at positions 920 to 1382 of the family's 1533-position model. Lineage: Bacteria; Bacillati; Bacillota; Clostridia; Eubacteriales; Desulfotomaculaceae. The record is from RNAcentral.